UAGCAGACUAGUUGACUUAGGGCUUUGUGUCUCCUGCUUACGCAGUUUUAAGGAGAUGAAGACCAAAGAGAGAAUCAUCGAGGGAUAGUUCUAUAGUCUACGACUCUUUCACCAAAUUCUCUUCAUUUUUCACAAGUUUUAUUGCUCUUUCCACUUUUUAAUCCCUUUUUGUUUUCUUUUCUUGUAAAAGUUAUUCUUUGUUCAUAUCACAGAGGUUUUUGGUCGGCUAGAUUUCUGUUCUUGUAAAGUUCUUUUAAAGGCGAACGCCGCAUCUUGUCAAAAUAAACUUAAAAGGGUUUUGUGCGCUAUCUUUAAUUUUUUUCCAGAUUUAUUUACCAACAUAUUUUCUAGGGAAGUUUUCAGAUCUAGUCUUUAGAUCUCUCCAAAAUAUCUUUAAGAAACCAUUUGUUGGCUUUGGAUUCAUAUCCAAGAAGAUGGUGAGAGGGAAGAUCGAAAUCAAAAGAAUCGAGGACAUGACUAGCAGACAAGUCACGUUCUCCAAGCGUAGGAAAGGUCUCCUGAAGAAGGCUCACGAGCUUUCAGUUUUAUGUGAUGCUCAAGUAGCCGCCAUCGUCUUCUCUCAGACAGGAAGAUUAUAUGAUUUCGCUAGCUCCGAGUAAGUACCUAUCACUUAUGAACCUUUUGAUCCAACACUCAUUUGUAUAUAUAUACACCAUUAUUUGUGAUGUUAAGCUCUUAAUUAAUUAGGUAAGAUUGUUUGUACUAGCUGGAGAUUUCUAAACAUGUAGUUGAGUUUAAUUUCCCCCAAAAUAUUCCCUAUGAAAUUGCUUUGAUUUUCUUUAAUUAGGCAUAUCUAUCUAUACUAUUAAAGCAGAAUCCCUCAUAGGAUUCUGCCCCUGUUUUUUCAACUUAAUUACAACCAAAUGCCACUGCCAUUUUCUUCCUUUUUUUAAAUGAAAAUCGUCCAUUAUAAUUGGCCAACCAGAACCACCUAUUUUUAAGCCCAUUCACGACAACUUUUACACAAAAACUGAUUCGAACAUUCAUUUAUACCAACUCAAUCUGUUUAAACUCAUUUGGAAUAUAACAUAACCCACUAAAAAUUUACCCAAUUCGAUACCCUAAAAUUUAAGGUUUGCGAGAUAAAACUCAGAAAAAACCUGUAUCUAAUACCAUAAGACUUGAAAUUUUCGAUUUAUGAAUUUGACAAAAUAUAGUAUUUACAUUUUAGUACCACUUGAAUGAAGAACCAAUUAAAAUAUUGAAUGUGAACCAAAAAAAUAACAAUCUAUUAACAUUUUAUCAAUUAGUGGAUUUAUAAAGAAUAAGAAUGUAUUUUUAAUUGAGUUAUAGAUUAACCCAUUCACUUUUAUUCCAUUAUUGAAAUCGAUUCAAUAGAUGUUAAGGAAUAUUCUGUGUUUUAACUACUUGGUCACUAAUAAAUAUUUUUUUUUCUAAUAAAGAAAGGAUUUCUAAAGAUUAUAAAAGUUACCUAAUAUCACGGUGCAUGAUAUCCAACUAAUUAUAUUAACGUGGCCAACACCCACCGAUUAUAUUGGAGCUUUCAAAUGGUACCCAUAUUUACAAUAAAUGAUAGCGAUAAUAUAGAUAUUAUAGCGAUAAUAUAGAUAUUAUAGUUUAGAAAAAUCUAGUGGGAUACGAUUUGGAGUAUGCCCCAAGGUUUCCCAAUAACCUAAGCACCUCUCCCUUUAACCUCUUCAUAUUAUAAAUACCGUAGACCCCUUCCUAUUGAAACCACUACCGUCAAAAACACUGCCCUUAAAGAAACCUACUGCUUGCAGCAAAACAUAACCUAAGCAAAUCCAAACAUUGGAAGCUUCUAAUGAAAUAGUGACAGGCAUCAAAUAUUUGAGGUCCUAGAAGAUUACUUGGUUUGUUCAUGUGAAGGUUCUACACUCUUGGAAACAAAACAUAACAGGGAAAACCAUGUAAUUUGUAUUGGCUGAUGAGAAUAUUUGCUGGGACAGGUAUUGAACUGUGGUGAGGUCGAGAUGAUCCAAUGUAUUCGGGAGAAGCGACGGAAGAAGCUUGAGUUCACCCUACACGACAUCCAAUAAGUUUGGUAGCAUCUUUAACCCAC
This is a long non-coding RNA of Raphanus sativus (radish), 2062 nucleotides long. RefSeq lists it as uncharacterized. Lineage: Eukaryota; Viridiplantae; Streptophyta; Magnoliopsida; Brassicales; Brassicaceae. The transcript has 3 exons. The record is from RefSeq and is a predicted model, not a curated record.